GGAGAUAUGGAAAAAGUGAGGUGUGCCCAUGUUGCCGACCGUGGCCAUGGAUAACUCAGGACGGUGCAUUUGCUGGGCAAGGCUGGCCGUCGGCUAAGACAAGAAGACCUUCACAUGGUCUGAUGACUGGAGGUGCAAGGGAGACCUAGAAGAAAUGGGGCAGCCCAGGGUGCCGAGCAUGGUUGUGGAUCACUCGGGACAGUGGAGUGCCAGGGAAUGAAGGCCAGUGACAGCGUGUGACCAUCUGCAUAUUCUGUAAUACCCAGCGAGUCAAGGAAGGCGCAGC
This is a long non-coding RNA of Balaenoptera acutorostrata (minke whale), 286 nucleotides long. RefSeq lists it as uncharacterized. NCBI's taxonomy places the organism in Eukaryota, Metazoa, Chordata, Mammalia, Artiodactyla, Balaenopteridae. The record is from RefSeq and is a predicted model, not a curated record. The transcript is spliced from 3 exons.